This is a non-coding RNA of Schizosaccharomyces pombe (fission yeast), 467 nucleotides long. Lineage: Eukaryota; Fungi; Ascomycota; Schizosaccharomycetes; Schizosaccharomycetales; Schizosaccharomycetaceae. The record is from the annotation of a GenBank genome assembly.
UACUGUAAGUAGAAAUAGACACUGCAUCUUUUCAGCAUCCUCAAUAGCAUCACUGCCCUUAAGAUCCUUGAAACAAUUAAUCAUUAGUCUCACAAAACACUUUGAUGCAAGUACCCAUAUAGGUAAUGUUGACUGGUUAACGCGACUAGCUUUCGGACAACGAUACUUGAGUCGCAUUGGUACAAGUAAUGACUCGAACAUAUGUUGCAUGGUCCCGCGAUUUAAAAAAUCUAAAGAAUGAUUUUCGACAACAUUUUCCGCGUUUUCAAAUAUUUUUUUGGACAGGCAAAUUAAGGUAGGAAGAGAUGCUCUAAUUGUUUUCUCUUCGUUGAAAGCAUAAGUUAAGACAUCGGACCAUAAUUCUAAUACCAAAUGGUUUAAUUUAAAUUUGCUUAUCAAUAAGUCUGUAAGCGAUUCAACGGCAAGCUGUAAAGAAGAAAGAAAAUCGACAUCUAACGCGAAAGAAG